RNAcentral lists this ribosomal RNA (523 nucleotides) under uncultured bacterium. RNAcentral's name for it is "bacterial SSU rRNA". It matches the Rfam family "Bacterial small subunit ribosomal RNA", at positions 356 to 896 of the family's 1533-position model. The record is from RNAcentral.
GGGGAAUAUUGGACAAUGGACCAAGAGUCUGAUCCAGCAAUUCUGUGUGCACGAUGAAGUUUUUCGGAAUGUAAAGUGCUUUCAGUUGGGAAGAAAGAAAUGACGGUACCAACAGAAGAAGUGACGGCUAAAUACGUGCCAGCAGCCGCGGUAAUACGUAUGUCACGAGCGUUAUCCGGAUUUAUUGGGCGUAAAGCGCGUCUAGGUGGUUAUAUAAGUCUGAUGUGAAAAUGCAGGGCUCAACUCUGUAUUGCGUUGGAAACUGUAUAACUAGAGUACUGGAGAGGUAAGCGGAACUACAAGUGUAGAGGUGAAAUUCGUAGAUAUUUGUAGGAAUGCCGAUGGGGAAGCCAGCUUACUGGACAGAUACUGACGCUGAAGCGCGAAAGCGUGGGUAGCAAACAGGAUUAGAUACCCUGGUAGUCCACGCCGUAAACGAUGAUUACUAGGUGUUGGGGGUCGAACCUCAGCGCCCAAGCAAACGCGAUAAGUAAUCCGCCUGGGGAGUACGUACGCAAGUAUG